This 402-nucleotide ribosomal RNA is filed under the name uncultured Mesorhizobium sp. RNAcentral describes it as "bacterial SSU rRNA". It matches the Rfam family "Bacterial small subunit ribosomal RNA", at positions 353 to 772 of the family's 1533-position model. Lineage: Bacteria; Pseudomonadati; Pseudomonadota; Alphaproteobacteria; Hyphomicrobiales; Phyllobacteriaceae. The record is from RNAcentral.
AGUGGGGAAUAUUGGACAAUGGGCGAAAGCCUGAUCCAGCCAUGCCGCGUGAGUGAUGAAGGCCCUAGGGUUGUAAAGCUCUUUCAACGGUGAAGAUAAUGACGGUAACCGUAGAAGAAGCCCCGGCUAACUUCGUGCCAGCAGCCGCGGUAAUACGAAGGGGGCUAGCGUUGUUCGGAAUUACUGGGCGUAAAGCGCACGUAGGCGGACUAUUAAGUCAGGGGUGAAAUCCCGGGGCUCAACCCCGGAACUGCCUUUGAUACUGGUAGUCUAGAGUCCGAGAGAGGUGAGUGGAAUUCCGAGUGUAGAGGUGAAAUUCGUAGAUAUUCGGAGGAACACCAGUGGCGAAGGCGGCUCACUGGCUCGGUACUGACGCUGAGGUGCGAAAGCGUGGGGAGCAAA